RNAcentral lists this ribosomal RNA (579 nucleotides) under uncultured bacterium. RNAcentral describes it as "partial 16S ribosomal RNA". It matches the Rfam family "Bacterial small subunit ribosomal RNA", at positions 355 to 923 of the family's 1533-position model. The record is from RNAcentral.
UGGGGAAUUUUGGACAAUGGGCGAAAGCCUGAUCCAGCAAUGCCGCGUGUGUGAAGAAGGCCUUCGGGUUGUAAAGCACUUUUGUCCGGAAAGAAAUCCUUGGCUCUAAUACAGUCGGGGGAUGACGGUACCGGAAGAAUAAGCACCGGCUAACUACGUGCCAGCAGCCGCGGUAAUACGUAGGGUGCAAGCGUUAAUCGGAAUUACUGGGCGUAAAGCGUGCGCAGGCGGUUUGCUAAGACCGAUGUGAAAUCCCCGGGCUCAACCUGGGAACUGCAUUGGUGACUGGCAGGCUAGAGUAUGGCAGAGGGGGGUAGAAUUCCACGUGUAGCAGUGAAAUGCGUAGAGAUGUGGAGGAAUACCGAUGGCGAAGGCAGCCCCCUGGGCCAAUACUGACGCUCAUGCACGAAAGCGUGGGGGAGCAAAACAGGAUUAGAUACCCUGGUGAGUCCACGCCCCUAAACGAUGUCAACUAGUUGUUGGGGAUUCAUUUCCUUAGUAACGUAGCUAACGCGUGAAGUUGACCGCCUGGGGAGUACGGUCGCAAGAUUAAAACUCAAAUGAAUUGACGGGGUCAUA